Molecule: small nucleolar RNA, 106 nt
Organism: Salvia miltiorrhiza (redroot sage)
Lineage: Eukaryota; Viridiplantae; Streptophyta; Magnoliopsida; Lamiales; Lamiaceae
Product: small nucleolar RNA snoR109
Exons: 1
Source: RefSeq, a predicted model, not a curated record
UGGCUAUAACAAAUUAUUGGGAGAAAUUAUCUGUCUGGUUGUUGUUCUCGGAAUUUCUCUAAUUCUUUGUUCGUCGACAUACUUGCUCAUUUAAUUUCUCACAGUU